UACGAAGGACCCGAGCGUUAUCCGGAUUUAUUGGGUUUAAAGGGUGCGUAGGCGGACUUAUAAGUCAGUGGUGAAAUCUCCCAGCUUAACUGGGAAACUGCCAUUGAAACUAUUUGUCUUGAGUACAUUUGAGGCGGGCGGAAUGUGUCAUGUAGAGGUGAAAUUCUUAGAUAUGACACAGAACACCAAUUGCGAAGGCAGCUCACUACACAAUCAUUGACGCUGAGGCACGAAAGCGUGGGGAUCAAACAGG
Molecule: ribosomal RNA, 253 nt
Filed under: uncultured bacterium
Lineage: Bacteria
Description: partial 16S ribosomal RNA
Rfam family: Bacterial small subunit ribosomal RNA
Source: RNAcentral